Molecule: non-coding RNA, 98 nt
Organism: Acanthosepion pharaonis
Lineage: Eukaryota; Metazoa; Mollusca; Cephalopoda; Sepiida; Sepiidae
Source: the annotation of a GenBank genome assembly
GUUGAAACACCAGUUCCCGUACGAUCACCGAAGUUAAGCAACGUCGAGCCUGGAUAGUACCUACAUAGGUGACAGCUUGGGAAUACCACAUGCUGUAA